This 1336-nucleotide long non-coding RNA is filed under the name Homo sapiens (human). RNAcentral's name for it is "non-protein coding lnc-ABI2-1:1". Lineage: Eukaryota; Metazoa; Chordata; Mammalia; Primates; Hominidae. The record is from RNAcentral.
GCCCUCCCUUCAGGCGCCCGGCCGCGCCCGGCCGCACUCAACCGCGGCUCCGCUCGUGCCUCGCCUUUCCUCCGCAAGUCCCUGUGAGCCGCCUACAGGAACGAGUGAAUCAGAGAAUGAAUGAGUGGGGAGGAAAAUCCCAGUGCUGCCCCACCCCCUGCUCGCCUUUCAUAGGAAGCCGGCCCAGCAGCCUCUGUCCUAGCGCCCUGGGAGGCACAGCAGCCUCCAGCAGUUCUGUCAGGGAGCUGUACGCAUCCACCUUUAUACGCUGUCCGUGUAUUCAGAGACUCCAGAAACGCAUCCGGGGUUGGCUCGGUCACUUACAGGACCAUUGUCGUUGAGAUCUGUGAGGCCCUUCUUUAGGAAAUCCCAUUUUGGCCAAAAAGUCUCUGCAGUUUCAUGGAAUGUAUUGGGAAACUUAGGAACGGGACAUUUCGAUGACCUUUACUUUUUAAACUUCGAAAUCUGUUAAUCCUGCCUCCUUAAUUUCUGUCCCCCCACCCCAUCGGAAUUGUGUAGUAGUAAGGUGUCGGCAUUUUUCCUUAUCGCUAAGCUCAGCUGCUGCCUCUUUAGAUGCAGGCUUGACUUCGGCAGACUUUUAGAUUUUAAGUAUGUCCUUAUUUUGACCUUCACCUAAAGUUGAUCAAAGAAAGGAACAAAUGGAACUAAGUUAUGUUUGCUUGGCUACAUGCAAAGCAAGUUUGUUGACAGCAUUAAAACAAUUGAGAAAUUGGGAGUGUGACCUGAAAUUGGUUGCAAUGAACAUUGCUUUUUCAUGUCUUCCCAUCUGCUUGCUAAGAAUUUAUUUAAAUUUUCACAAAGCAUUGACUGUACAUUCCUGAAAUCCUAGCUCCCUCUCUAAGAAUGAGAGUGUUCAUUUCUCUGUCCUGGGGCCAAAUCCUGGUUUGGUUAAUUACAUUCUUACUUCCUGAUAUUCUUGAGGACUUUCAAGUGGUUUCAGUCUUUUUUGUACAAUCUGUUCCAAACUGGUACACAAUCUGUUUCAAAUUGGUAUUUAGAACCAUACAAUACAGAUACUGGCUGCCUUUCACACUUGAGAUAUCUGUACUUUUGAAACAUAACUGCCCUUUUGUAUUUUAAGUUCAGUAGGUAUGUCAAUAUUCUUGUAUAGAAUAAUACUAUCUCUUGACUGGAUUAAGAAAAUGUGGCACAUAUACACCACGGAAUACUAUGCAGCCAUAAAAAAGGUUGAGUUAAUGUCCUUUGUAGGGACAUGGAUGAAGCUGGAAACCAUCAUUCUCAGCAAACUAUCGCAAGGACAGAAAACCAAACACCACAUGAUCUCACUCAUAGGUGGGACUUGAACAAUGAGAAC